Molecule: non-coding RNA, 72 nt
Organism: Bos taurus (domestic cattle)
Lineage: Eukaryota; Metazoa; Chordata; Mammalia; Artiodactyla; Bovidae
Source: Rfam
UCCCUGGUGGUCCAGUGGCUAAGACCACAGACCCAAAUGCAGGGAGCCCAGGUUCAAUUCCUGGUCAGGGAA